ACGGGGGGAGCAAGCGUUGUUCGGAAUCACUGGGCGUAAAGGGCGUGUAGGCGGUCAAGUAAGUGGGAUGUGAAAUCCCUCGGCUCACCCGAGGACCUGCAUCCCAAACUGCUUGGCUUGAGUAUGGGAGAGGAUGAGGGAAUUCCUGGUGUAGCGGUGAAAUGCGUAGAUAUCAGGAGGAACACCGGUGGCGAAGGCGCUCAUCUGGCCCAAUACUGACGCUGAGGCGCGAAAGCUAGGGGAGCAAACGGGAUUAGAUACCCCGGUAGUCCUAGCCGUAAACGGUGAUCACUAGGUGUUGGAGGCAUCGACCCCUCCAGUGCCGCAGCUAACGCAUUAAGUGAUCCGCCUGGGGAGUACGGCCGCAAGGUUG
This 373-nucleotide ribosomal RNA is filed under the name uncultured bacterium. RNAcentral describes it as "bacterial SSU rRNA". It matches the Rfam family "Bacterial small subunit ribosomal RNA", at positions 525 to 896 of the family's 1533-position model. The record is from RNAcentral.